This 498-nucleotide ribosomal RNA is filed under the name uncultured bacterium. RNAcentral's name for it is "partial 16S ribosomal RNA". It matches the Rfam family "Bacterial small subunit ribosomal RNA", at positions 30 to 523 of the family's 1533-position model. The record is from RNAcentral.
AUUGAACGCUGGCGGCAUGCCUUACACAUGCAAGUCGAACGGUAACAGGUCUUCGGAUGCUGACGAGUGGCGAACGGGUGAGUAAUACAUCGGAACGUGCCUAGUAGUGGGGGAUAACUACUCGAAAGAGUGGCUAAUACCGCAUGAGAUCUACGGAUGAAAGCAGGGGAUCGCAAGACCUUGUGCUACUAGAGCGGCCGAUGGCAGAUUAGGUAGUUGGUGGGAUAAAAGCUUACCAAGCCGACGAUCUGUAGCUGGUCUGAGAGGACGAUCAGCCACACUGGGACUGAGACACGGCCCAGACUCCUACGGGAGGCAGCAGUGGGGAAUUUUGAACAAUGGGCGCAAGCCUGAUCCAGCAAUGCCGCGUGCAGGAAGAAGGCCUUCGGGUUGUAAACUGCUUUUGUCAGGGAAGAAAUCUUCUGGGCUAAUACCCCGGGAGGAUGACGGUACCUGAAGAAUAAGCACCGGCUAACUACGUGCCAGCCGCCGCGGUAA